This 554-nucleotide ribosomal RNA is filed under the name Anoplagonus inermis (smooth alligatorfish). Its description in RNAcentral is "partial 16S ribosomal RNA". It matches the Rfam family "Bacterial large subunit ribosomal RNA", at positions 1851 to 2606 of the family's 2925-position model. The record is from RNAcentral. Lineage: Eukaryota; Metazoa; Chordata; Actinopteri; Perciformes; Agonidae.
GGUCCCGCCUGCCCUGUGACUAUUUGUUUAACGGCCGCGGUAUUUUGACCGUGCGAAGGUAGCGCAAUCACUUGUCUUUUAAAUGGAGACCCGUAUGAAUGGCAUAACGAGGGCUUAACUGUCUCCUCUUUCAAGUCAAUGAAAUUGAUCUCCCCGUGCAGAAGCGGGGAUAAGAACAUAAGACGAGAAGACCCUAUGGAGCUUUAGACACAAGGCAGCUCACGUUAAGCACCCUAGAUAAAGGACUAAACCAAAUGAGCCCUGCUUCAAUGUCUUUGGUUGGGGCGACCACGGGGAACUAAAUAACCCCCACGUGGAACGAGAGCACUCCUCCCACAGCUAAGAGCUACAGCUCUAGUAAACAGAAUUUCUGACCAGCAAGAUCCGGCACUGCCGAUCAACGGACCGAGUUACCCUAGGGAUAACAGCGCAAUCCUCUUUUAGAGCCCAUAUCGACAAGGGGGUUUACGACCUCGAUGUUGGAUCAGGACAUCCUAAUGGUGCAGCCGCUAUUAAGGGUUCGUUUGUUCAACGAUUAAAGUCCUACGUGAUCU